CCCUGAAAUACAUAUCAGUAAGCGGAGGAAAAGAAACUAACCAGGAUUCCCCCAGUAACGGCGAGUGAACGGGGAUUAGCCCAGCAUCGAAGCCUAUGGUCGUUUGACUGUAAGGCAAUGUGAUGUUAUGGUUUGUGCCUAGGGUCGCUGGUCAACUCGAAGUCCAAUAUUGAAUGUGGCUUUUGUAUGUAGCCCAGAGCGGGUGAUAGGCCCGUGCGAGUUGAUUGUCAGUGGUGUUGAGCGGCCUCCAGAUGCACGAACUAUGGAGUCGGAUUGCUUGAGAAUGCAGUCCAAAGUUGGUGGUAAACUCCAUCAAAGGCUAAAUACCUGCACGAGUCCGAUAGCAAACAAGUACCGUGAGGGAAAGUUGAAAAGUACUCUGAAGAGAGAGUAAAUAGUACGUGAAACCACAUGAAGGUAAGCGGGUGGAGUCCAGCUGCUUGCCAAGAGAAUUUAGUCGGACUGUGAAAAAUGGAUGUUGUGAGCUGCCACAUUGGGUUCGCUUUUGAAAGGCGUGUUAGGCACACAUACCUGUCUAAUCCAUGUGCCGUCUUGUAGACGGUGUGGGCCCAGUGUGUGUUAUAGCGUGUGCUCGCAGCCUGGCGUUCUUUCUCUUGGCAAACAUCACAGUCAAUAUUGCUGCUAGUAUGUGAUGCGUCAAACCGUCAAGUGGUGGGCCUCGAAGUUCACUCUUGCCGGGAUGGCAGGUGGUGUAUGUGGCGUGUGCCGUAUGGUUCACGUUCAUGUAUGCUUAAAAAUGGUUUCGACCAGCCGACCUUCACGUUGUAUAAUUUGCAUUAAACUAUGCAGUAUAUUGGUCAUAGCAUGUGCUCUGCGCGAUCAGUUCAUUGUGUGUCCAGAGAGGCCCAUGCCUGGUUAUGUGUAAAAGCGUGCCUAGUAUGGUGUUUCCACUGUGCGCGUUUUGAAUGAAUUCGUUUGUACGUGUAAACUGUGGUGCUGUGGUAGAUGUUCCACCUGACCGCUGAA
RNAcentral lists this ribosomal RNA (987 nucleotides) under Merizocotyle sinensis. Its description in RNAcentral is "eukaryotic LSU rRNA". It matches the Rfam family "Eukaryotic large subunit ribosomal RNA", at positions 26 to 658 of the family's 3401-position model. Lineage: Eukaryota; Metazoa; Platyhelminthes; Monogenea; Monocotylidea; Monocotylidae. The record is from RNAcentral.